RNAcentral lists this ribosomal RNA (465 nucleotides) under Vreelandella stevensii. RNAcentral describes it as "partial 16S ribosomal RNA". It matches the Rfam family "Bacterial small subunit ribosomal RNA", at positions 338 to 795 of the family's 1533-position model. The record is from RNAcentral. Lineage: Bacteria; Pseudomonadati; Pseudomonadota; Gammaproteobacteria; Oceanospirillales; Halomonadaceae.
CCUACGGGCGGCAGCAGUGGGGAAUAUUGGACAAUGGGCGAAAGCCUGAUCCAGCCAUGCCGCGUGUGUGAAGAAGGCCUUCGGGUUGUAAAGCACUUUCAGUGGGGAAGAAAGCCUUGGGGCUAAUACCCUCGAGGAAGGACAUCACCCACAGAAGAAGCACCGGCUAACUCCGUGCCAGCAGCCGCGGUAAUACGGAGGGUGCGAGCGUUAAUCGGAAUUACUGGGCGUAAAGCGCGCGUAGGCGGUCUGAUAAGCCGGUUGUGAAAGCCCCGGGCUCAACCUGGGAACGGCAUCCGGAACUGUCAGGCUAGAGUGCAGGAGAGGAAGGUAGAAGUCCCGGUGUAGCGGUGAAAUGCGUAGAGAUCGGGAGGAAUACCAGUGGCGAAGGCGGCCUUCUGGACUGACACUGACGCUGAGGUGCGAAAGCGUGGGUAGCAGACAGGAUUAGAUACCCUUGUAGUC